AUUGAACGCUGGCGGCAGGCCUAACACAUGCAAGUCGAGCGAGCGGCGGACGGGUGAGUAAUGUCUGGGAAACUGCCUGACGGAGGGGGAUAACUACUGGAAACGGUAGCUAAUACCGCAUACCAUCAGAUGUGCCCAGAUGGGAUUAGCUUGUAGGUGAGGUAACGGCUCACCUAGGCGACGAUCCCUAGCUGGUCUGAGAGGAUGACCAGCCACACUGGAACUGAGACACGGUCCAGACUCCUACGGGAGGCAGCAGUGGGGAAUAUUGCACAAUGGGCGAAAGCCUGAUACAGCAAUGCCGCGUGUGUGAAGAAGGCCUUCGGGUUGUAAAGUACUUUCAGCAGGGAGGCGUUACCCAAAGAGGAAGCACCGGCUAACUCCGUGCCAGCAGCCGCGGUAAUUC
Molecule: ribosomal RNA, 406 nt
Filed under: uncultured bacterium
Lineage: Bacteria
Description: partial 16S ribosomal RNA
Rfam family: Bacterial small subunit ribosomal RNA
Source: RNAcentral